This 253-nucleotide ribosomal RNA is filed under the name uncultured bacterium. Its description in RNAcentral is "partial 16S ribosomal RNA". It matches the Rfam family "Bacterial small subunit ribosomal RNA", at positions 524 to 776 of the family's 1533-position model. The record is from RNAcentral.
UACGGAGGGUGCAAGCGUUAUCCGGAAUUACUGGGUUUAAAGGAUGCGUAGGCGGGCUAAUAAGUCAGAAGUGAAAGCUCACGGCUCAACUGUGGAAUUGCUUUUGAUACUGUUAGUCUUGAAUUAGGUUGAGGUUGGCGGAAUGAGUCAUGUAGCGGUGAAAUGCAUAGAUAUGACUUAGAACACCAAUUGCGAAGGCAGCUGACUAGACCUUAAUUGACGCUGAGGCAUGAAAGCGUGGGGAGCGAACAGG